CUAAAGAGAAGAGGACAGAGUUCAAAACCAGAACCUCGACUACACUGAAUUUCCGAUUUUGCUCUCCUUUCUUCUACUGUCUUCUCCUUUCUUCUGCGUCUUUUUUUUUCCUCUCUCUAGAAGCCUCGCCGCCCUUCUCUUCAAUUCUCUCUUCUGCUCCCUUCGCUGUCACUCUCGCACACCCCACUCAAUUUCUUCUCUCACACCGUCAAUCAAGCUCCAAAUAUCAGAAUACAUGAGUUGCAUUUUAGAUGAUGAUACAAAUCCCACUAAACAGUGAUUGUUAGAUAAAUGAAAUCUUCAUGAACAUUGAGCCAUAUAUAUGAAUAUUUCAUAACUUGCAGAUCAUUUCUGGUGUUUCGGUCAAAAUGGGAGUUCAUAGAGCAGGUUGUUCGAAGGUCAAUUUAGUUCUACAACUGGUCGGGACGGGUGUAGUGGGUGAUUGAAUUCGAUUGUGUAGGAGAGAAAUAAAAUGGUCAAAAUCACUCUUUGGUCAGACCUUGAAAAAAAAUUUGAUCUGGGACCAUGAAGCACGAAGAUGUACAAAUGUACAAAUUAAAGGUGAAAUUACACCAACUAGCACUAAUCACCCGUGUGAUUUUCAGUCAACGCGCAAACUAUGCAGCUAAGUGAGUAACUGUUGUAUCUACAAAUAACAAUUUUUAGGUUUGUU
Argentina anserina (silverweed cinquefoil) is the source of this 673-nucleotide long non-coding RNA. RefSeq lists it as uncharacterized. NCBI's taxonomy places the organism in Eukaryota, Viridiplantae, Streptophyta, Magnoliopsida, Rosales, Rosaceae. The transcript has 3 exons. The record is from RefSeq and is a predicted model, not a curated record.